GGAAGGGCCAUCGCUCAACGGAUAAAAGGUACUCUGGGGAUAACAGGCUGAUUCCUCCCAAGAGUUCAUAUCGACGGGGGAGUUUGGCACCUCGAUGUCGGCUCAUCACAUCCUGGGGCUGAAGCCGGUCCCAAGGGUAUGGCUGUUCGCCAUUUAAAGUGGUACGCGAGCUGGGUUUAGAACGUCGUGAGACAGUUCGGUCCCUAUCUGCCGUGGACGUUGGAGAUUUGAGGAAAGCUGCUCCUAGUACGAGAGGACCGGAGUGGACGAACCGCUGGUGUUCGGGUUGUGUCGCCAGACGCAUUGCCCGGUAGCUAUGUUCGGAUAGGAUAACCGCUGAAAGCAUCUAAGCGGGAAGCCCCUUUCAAGAUGAGAUCUCACUGGAGCUUCGAGCUCCCUGUAGGGCCCUUGAAGACUACAAGGUUGAUAGGCUAGGUGUGGAAGCGUUGUAAGGCGUUGAGCUAACUAGUACUAAUUGCCCGUGAGGCUUGACC
RNAcentral lists this ribosomal RNA (494 nucleotides) under Thalassiosira antarctica. RNAcentral describes it as "partial Bacterial large subunit ribosomal RNA". It matches the Rfam family "Bacterial large subunit ribosomal RNA", at positions 2435 to 2925 of the family's 2925-position model. The record is from RNAcentral. Lineage: Eukaryota; Bacillariophyta; Thalassiosirophyceae; Thalassiosirales; Thalassiosiraceae.